GAUGAACGCUGGCGGCGUGCCUAAUACAUGCAAGUCGAGCGAACAGACGAGGGGCUUGCUCCUCUGACGUUAGCGGCGGACGGGUGAGUAACACGUGGAUAACCUACCUAUAAGACUGGGAUAACUUCGGGAAACCGGAGCUAAUACCGGAUAAUAUAUUGAACCGCAUGGUUCAAUAGUGAAAGACGGUUUUGCUGUCACUUAUAGAUGGAUCCGCGCCGCAUUAGCUAGUUGGUAAGGUAACGGCUUACCAAGGCAACGAUGCGUAGCCGACCUGAGAGGGUGAUCAGCCACACUGGAACUGAGACACGGUCCAGACUCCUACGGGAGGCAGCAGUAGGGAAUCUUCCGCAAUGGGCGAAAGCCUGACGGAGCAACGCCGCGUGAGUGAUGAAGGUCUUCGGAUCGUAAAACUCUGUUAUUAGGGAAGAACAAAUGUGUAAGUAACUAUGCACGUCUUGACGGUACCUAAUCAGAAAGCCACGGCUAACUACGUG
Molecule: ribosomal RNA, 497 nt
Filed under: uncultured bacterium
Lineage: Bacteria
Description: partial 16S ribosomal RNA
Rfam family: Bacterial small subunit ribosomal RNA
Source: RNAcentral